GAAUUUUCUCUACCCGAUCUAUCCAAAAAAUCCUAGAUCUGUCUCCCCAUCAUUACCACACUCGUCGCCACACCACACCAUCACCAUCCUCACCACCAUCACCACAAAACACCGUCUAAUUUUCACCCCAUGGAGAUUGAUGUCCUUCUUCUCUGAUGACAAUAAUAGAUCGACUCUCAUGGUGAGAAGGGGUUGUUGUUGCUUUGGACAUCCGCGCCACG
Molecule: long non-coding RNA, 221 nt
Filed under: Erythranthe guttata (spotted monkey flower)
Lineage: Eukaryota; Viridiplantae; Streptophyta; Magnoliopsida; Lamiales; Phrymaceae
Description: long non-coding RNA (EGUT_LNC001524)
Source: RNAcentral